UCGGUGUAUGGUAUGACGGAGUU
This 23-nucleotide non-coding RNA is filed under the name Rattus norvegicus (Norway rat). The record is from RNAcentral. Lineage: Eukaryota; Metazoa; Chordata; Mammalia; Rodentia; Muridae.